Molecule: ribosomal RNA, 507 nt
Filed under: uncultured bacterium
Lineage: Bacteria
Description: partial 16S ribosomal RNA
Rfam family: Bacterial small subunit ribosomal RNA
Source: RNAcentral
ACUCAAAUGAAUUGACGGGGGCUCACACAAGCGGUGGAGCAUGUGGCUUAAUUCGAAGCAACGCGAAGAACCUUAUCCUGGGCUUGACAUGCAUAGAUUAGCUCCGUGAAAGCGGAGUCACACCCGCAAGGGCGGAAUAUGCACAGGUGCUGCAUGGCUGUCGUCAGCUCGUGCUGUGAAGUGUUGGGUUAAGUCCCUUAACGAGCGAAACCCUUGCCGCUAGUUACCAUCAGGUCAUGCUGGGGACUCUAGCGGGACUGCCGGUGUCAAACCGGAGGAAGGUGGGGAUGACGUCAAGUCCUCAUGGCCUUUAUGCCCAGGGCUGCACACGUGCUACAAUGGCAUCCACAAAGCGACGCAAUGCCGCGAGGCGGAGCAAAUCGCAAAAAAGAUGCCCCAGUUCGGAUUGCAGUCUGCAACUCGACUGCAUGAAGUUGGAAUCGCUAGUAAUCGCGGAUCAGCUACGCCGCGGUGAAUACGUUCCUGAGCCUUGUACACACCGCCCGU